RNAcentral lists this ribosomal RNA (545 nucleotides) under uncultured bacterium. Its description in RNAcentral is "bacterial SSU rRNA". It matches the Rfam family "Bacterial small subunit ribosomal RNA", at positions 777 to 1334 of the family's 1533-position model. The record is from RNAcentral.
AAUAGAUACCCCGGUAGUCCACGCCGUAAACGAUGGAUACUAGCUGUUGGAGGUAUCGGACCCCUCCAGUAGCGAAGCUAACGCGUUAAGUAUCCCGCCUGUGGAGUACGGUCGCAAGACUAAAACAUAAAGGAAUUGACGGGGACCCGCACAAGCGGUGGAUUGUGUUCUUUAAUUCGAUGAUAAACGAUGAACCUUUCCAGGGCUUGACAUCCCGAGAAUUUUGCCGAAAGGCGAGAGUGCUUUAUUGAACUCGGUGACAGAUCUUGCAUGGCCGUCGUCAGCUCGUGUCGUGAGAUGUUUGGUUAAGUCCAUCAACGAGCGCAACCCUUAUGAAUAGUUGUAUUUUUCUAUUCAGACUGCCCUGGCAACAGGGAGGAAGGGGGGGAUGAUGUCAGGUCAGUAUUUCCCUUACGUCUGGGGCUACAAACACGCUACAAUGGCCGGUACAAAGGGCAGCCAACCCGCGAGGGGGAGCAAAUCCCAUCAAAGCCGGUCUCAGUUCGGAUAGCAGGCUGAAACUCGCCUGCUUGAAGUCGGAAUCG